CGGUCCAGACUCCUACGGGAGGCAGCAGUAGGGAAUAUUGUCCAAUGGGCGCAAGCCUGAGACAGCCAUGCCGCGUGUGUGAAGAAGGCCUUAGGGUUGUAAAGCACUUUCAGUUGGGAGGACAUAGCGGUGUUAAUAGCGCCGUGAAGAGACGUUACCAACAGAAGAAGCACCGGCUAACUCCGUGCCAGCAGCCGCGGUAA
This 203-nucleotide ribosomal RNA is filed under the name uncultured bacterium. RNAcentral's name for it is "partial 16S ribosomal RNA". It matches the Rfam family "Bacterial small subunit ribosomal RNA", at positions 327 to 523 of the family's 1533-position model. The record is from RNAcentral.